UUGUGGAGCGAUUUGUCUGGUCAAUUCCGAUAACAAACGAGACUCUAGCCUACUAAAUAGUUCGGGGACCCCCACAAAGGGCUUCAACUUCAUAGAGGGACAGGUGGCGUUUAGCCACACGAGAUUGAGCAAUAACA
Molecule: ribosomal RNA, 137 nt
Filed under: uncultured eukaryote
Lineage: Eukaryota
Description: partial 18S ribosomal RNA
Rfam family: Eukaryotic small subunit ribosomal RNA
Source: RNAcentral